CGUGUAGGCGGGAUUGCAAGUCAGAUGUGAAAUGUCGGGGCUUAACUCCGAAGCUGCAUCUGAAACUAGUAGUUCUUGUAGUGCUGGAGGAGGAAAGACGGAAUUCCUAGUGUAGCGGUGAAAUGCGUAGAUAUUAGGAGGAACACCAGUGGCGAAGGCGGCUUUCUGGACAGUAACUGCGCUGAGGCGCGAAAGCGUGGGGAGCAAACA
Molecule: ribosomal RNA, 210 nt
Rfam family: Bacterial small subunit ribosomal RNA